This 498-nucleotide ribosomal RNA is filed under the name uncultured bacterium. Its description in RNAcentral is "partial 16S ribosomal RNA". It matches the Rfam family "Bacterial small subunit ribosomal RNA", at positions 30 to 523 of the family's 1533-position model. The record is from RNAcentral.
AUUGAACGCUGGCGGCAUGCCUUACACACGCAAGUCGAACGGUAACAGGUCUUCGGAUGCUGACGAGUGGCGAACGGGUGAGUAAUACAUCGGAACGUGCCUAUUAGUGGGGGAUAACUACUCGAAAGAGUGACUAAUACCGCAUGAGAUCUCCGGAUGAAAGCAGGGGAUCGCAAGACCUCGUUCUACUACAGCGGCCGAUGGGAGAUUAGGUAGUUGGUGGGAUAAAAGCGUACCAAGCCGACGAUCUGUAGCUGGUCUGAGAGGACGAUCAGCCACACUGGGACUGAGACACGGCCCAGACUCCUACGGGAGGCAGCAGUGGGGAAUUUUGGACAAUGGGCGAAAGCCUGAUCCAGCAAUGCCGCGUGCAGGAUGAAGGCCUUCGGGUUGUAAACUGCUUUUGUACGGAACGAAAAGCCCCGGGUUAAUACCCUGGGGUCAUGACGGUACCGUAAGAAUAAGCACCGGCUAACUACGUGCCAGCAGCCGCAGUAA